AUGCUGUGAGCUCGAUGAGUAGGGCGGGACACGUGGUAUCCUGUCUGAAUAUGGGGGGACCAUCCUCCAAGGCUAAAUACUCCUGACUGACCGAUAGUGAACCAGUACCGUGAGGGAAAGGCGAAAAGAACCCCGGCGAGGGGAGUGAAAAAGAACCUGAAACCGUGUACGUACAAGCAGUGGGAGCACCCUUUGGGGUGUGACUGCGUACCUUUUGUAUAAUGGGUCAGCGACUUAUAUUCUGUAGCAAGGUUAACCGUAUAGGGGAGCCGGAGGGAAACCGAGUCUUAACCGGGCGUUAAGUUGCAGGGUAUAGACCCGAAACCCGGUGAUCUAGCCAUGGGCAGGUUGAAGGUUGGGUAACACUAACUGGAGGACCGAACCGACUAAUGUUGAAAAAUUAGCGGAUGACCUGUGGCUGGGGGUGAAAGGCCAAUCAAACCGGGAGAUAGCUGGUUCUCCCCGAAAGCUAUUUAGGUAGCGCCUCGUGAAUUCAUCUCCGGGGGUAGAGCACUGUUUCGGCUAGGGGGCCAUCCCGGCUUACCAACCCGAUGCAAACUGCGAAUACCGGAGAAUGUUAUCACGGGAGACACACGGCGGGUGCUAACGUCCGUCGUGAAGAGGGAAACAACCCAGACCGCCAGCUAAGGUCCCAAAGUCAUGGUUAAGUGGGAAACGAUGUGGGAAGGCCCAGACAGCCAGGAUGUUGGCUUAGAAGCAGCCAUCAUUUAAAGAAAGCGUAAUAGCUCACUGGUCGAGUCGGCCUGCGCGGAAGAUGUAACGGGGCUAAACCAUGCACCGAAGCUGCGGCAGCGACACUCAGGUGUUGUUGGGUAGGGGAGCGUUCUGUAAGCCUGCGAAGGUGGCCUGUGAGGGUUGCUGGAGGUAUCAGAAGUGCGAAUGCUGACAUAAGUAACGAUAAAGCGGGUGAAAAGCCCGCUCGCCGGAAGACCAAGGGUUCCUGUCCAACGUUAAUCGGGGCAGGGUGAGUCGACCCCUAAGGCGAGGCCGAAAGGCGUAGUCGAUGGGAAACGGGUUAAUAUUCCCGUACUUGGUGUUACUGCGAAGGGGGGACGGAGAAGGCUAUGUUGGCCGGGCGACGGUU
Molecule: ribosomal RNA, 1105 nt
Filed under: Salmonella enterica subsp. enterica serovar Montevideo
Lineage: Bacteria; Pseudomonadati; Pseudomonadota; Gammaproteobacteria; Enterobacterales; Enterobacteriaceae
Description: partial 23S ribosomal RNA
Rfam family: Bacterial large subunit ribosomal RNA
Source: RNAcentral